CCUACGGGAGGCAGCAGUGGGGAAUAUUGGACAAUGGGCGAAAGCCUGAUCCAGCCAUGCCGCGUGUGUGAAGAAGGUCUUCGGAUUGUAAAGCCCUUUCGACAGGGACGAUGAUGACGGUACCUGUAGAAGAAGCCCCGGCUAACUUCGUGCCAGCAGCCACGGUAAUACGAAGGGGGCUAGCGUUACUCGGAUUUACUGGGCGUAAAGGGCGCGUAGGCGGCUUGGUGAGUGAGGCGUGAAAUUCCCGGGCUUAACCUGGGGACUGCGCUUCAUACUGCUGGGCUUGAGGAUGGAAGAGGGUCGUGGAAUUCCCAGUGUAGAGGUGAAAUUCGUAGAUAUUGGGAAGAACACCGGUGGCGAAGGCGGCGACCUGGUCCAUUACUGACGCUGAGGCGCGACAGCGUGGGGAGCAAACAGGAUUAGAUACCCUUGUAGUC
This 440-nucleotide ribosomal RNA is filed under the name uncultured Roseomonas sp. Its description in RNAcentral is "bacterial SSU rRNA". It matches the Rfam family "Bacterial small subunit ribosomal RNA", at positions 338 to 795 of the family's 1533-position model. The record is from RNAcentral. Lineage: Bacteria; Pseudomonadati; Pseudomonadota; Alphaproteobacteria; Acetobacterales; Roseomonadaceae.